This 322-nucleotide unclassified non-coding RNA is filed under the name Altererythrobacter xiamenensis. RNAcentral describes it as "Long range pseudoknot". Lineage: Bacteria; Pseudomonadati; Pseudomonadota; Alphaproteobacteria; Sphingomonadales; Erythrobacteraceae. The record is from RNAcentral.
ACGCAUGAUUAUGACGUGAAGAUGCGGAACGUGAACAAGUUCAUCGAACACGGUGACAAGGUGAAAGUCACGCUGCGUUUUCGCGGACGUGAAAUGGCUCACCAGAACCUCGGCAUGGACCUCCUCAAGCGCGUUCAGGAAGACGUCGAGGAAAUCGCCAAGGUCGAAGCUUUUCCGCGCCUCGAAGGGCGCCAGAUGCUGAUGGUGCUCGCACCCAAGUAAAUCCAGACUAUCGGGCUGAGGGGACCGACAGGACAUGACCGCACGCAAGAUCGGCCUUGUCCUCGGUCCCUUUGCCUUUGCCUUGACCGUAUUCACCGCA